This is a long non-coding RNA of Phacochoerus africanus (Common warthog), 770 nucleotides long. RefSeq lists it as uncharacterized. Lineage: Eukaryota; Metazoa; Chordata; Mammalia; Artiodactyla; Suidae. The record is from RefSeq and is a predicted model, not a curated record. The transcript is spliced from 3 exons.
GCUCUGUAUAAACUCUCUUCGCUGGUAUCAGAAGCUGUGAUCUGUGCCUUUAAAAAGACGGAGGGGCUUGUGCCUCAGUGCAACAAGGAGGGAUGAAACACAGCUGGGACUUGGGGAAGUAGCCAAGCUUCCAGCAGCAUUUUAGAGUGCUUGCCCUCCCUCCUCCUGUGUUAACAAUUUUGCAGCUACCUCCAGCUGAGCACCCUGCUCUCAUAAUUAUCAAUCCUCAAUUUUACCCACGUUGUCUUCUCCUCUCUUCUGCACAACCGGGCACUGAUCCUAGCUGGCUGCCAAACUUCUGCUGUCCUCGCUUGAUAUGGCCAGCUUCCUCCCUUGUGUCAACAAAUAUCAGCAUGUGGAACACAAGUGAGAGCAAACUCUAUUUGACAAGGAAGACCCACUGAAGUUUUUUAAAGAGAUACAUGACAAGUUUAUUUAAAAGACAAUUGAAUAAUUUAAAGCUUUCUGAGGAUUACCAAACAUCUGUGGAAAUGAGAUCAGAACCAAACAACAGACCUUCAUCAAGUCACUUGAAAUUUCAGAUCAUGGGAAUUAAAGAAGAUUCUAUAAGCUUCCAGAGAGGGUAAAAAAUAACAUAUAAAGGAUUCUAAACAAAACUGCUUUGGAAUUUUUCAAUAAUAGCACUGAAUAUGAGAAGACAUUGCCUUCAAAUAUUUGAAGAAAAUAAUUUCUAGCCUGUAAUUCCAUGUCUCUUUAAUUGUGUAGAAGAAAAAAAUUAAAGGUUUCUUCAGAGAGUCAAGGAUGAGGAA